Molecule: transfer RNA, 87 nt
Filed under: Salinisphaera shabanensis E1L3A
Lineage: Bacteria; Pseudomonadati; Pseudomonadota; Gammaproteobacteria; Salinisphaerales; Salinisphaeraceae
Rfam family: tRNA
About the family: Transfer RNA (tRNA) molecules are approximately 80 nucleotides in length. Their secondary structure includes four short double-helical elements and three loops (D, anti-codon, and T loops).
Source: Rfam by way of RNAcentral
GGAGAGGUGGCAGAGCGGUUGAAUGCACCGGUCUUGAAAACCGGCAGGGGUUCACGCCCCUCGUGGGUUCGAAUCCCACCCUCUCCG